Non-coding RNA from Schizosaccharomyces pombe (fission yeast), 335 nucleotides. Lineage: Eukaryota; Fungi; Ascomycota; Schizosaccharomycetes; Schizosaccharomycetales; Schizosaccharomycetaceae. The record is from the annotation of a GenBank genome assembly.
UUGGCGAAAAUAGUCAUCCAAAGAAAGAGUGUAAGAAAUAAUAAUGAUUGCUUGAAAUCGAAUCUUCAAGCGCACAAAGUCGAAUUUGAAGAAAGAAAAUAAAGCAAAACCGAGAUUUUGGGGACCAGGCAGAUAAAAGGAAAACUUGAACUGUGUAAAAACCCAAAAUAAGCUAGAAAGGAGAGAUUGAAAAAAUGAGAGGGAAACUACUUAACCAAUCUCCUUAACGACGAUAAAAGAUGCAAUCUCUAGAAGAAUUUGUUGGCAGAAGAGAAAAACGAAUGAAGCAAGGGAUGGGAUUCAACGAUUGAAAUAUAAGCUAAGAUGAAUGCGGA